Molecule: long non-coding RNA, 439 nt
Filed under: Homo sapiens (human)
Lineage: Eukaryota; Metazoa; Chordata; Mammalia; Primates; Hominidae
Description: long intergenic non-protein coding RNA 882
Source: RNAcentral
AGUGAGUUCUCAGCGCCUCCCGCCGCGCAGGCUCGGCGUUGGCCUCCGCGGCCCGUGCGAGUGCGCCCUUCUCGGGUCCCCUAGGUCGCGGGGCAGCCGGGGCGGAAGGGGCUUGUUCAUUAUUUUGAGAGUUUGUUGUGAACGUCAUAACCUUUCGUCCUUAAAUAUUGCCGAUACUUGACCUACGCAAGAGACAAUGUCAUGUGAUUCAGCCUAAUAUCUCAACUGCUGUGAUUGCACCUGCCAUCUUAUGCAGAAAUGACCUGAAGACAGACUGAAACAACGUGUUCUACAGCCUGAAAAUAUCUACCUUGACUUACAGUUUUAUUAAUGCUGGUGUGAUCAGACUGGACAAAAAUUAGCAUAUGUUAUUAACUGAUCUAAUUCAAGUGCCAAUUCUUAAUAGAAACACAAAACAAUAAAAGCAAUUCAGAAAAUA